AGCUGACGAGUCUCAAAUAGGACGAAACGUGCGUCCU
This 37-nucleotide non-coding RNA is filed under the name Schistosoma curassoni. The record is from RNAcentral. Lineage: Eukaryota; Metazoa; Platyhelminthes; Trematoda; Strigeidida; Schistosomatidae.